UGCCAGACUCCUACGGGAGGCAGCAGUGGGGAAUAUUGCACAAUGGGGGAAACCCUGAUGCAGCGACGCCGCGUGAGCGAUGAAGUAUUUCGGUAUGUAAAGCUCUAUCAGCAGGGAAGAAGAUGACGGUACCUGACUAAGAAGCCCCGGCUAACUACGUGCCAGCAGCCGCGGUAAUACGUAGGGGGCAAGCGUUAUCCGGAUUUACUGGGUGUAAAGGGAGCGUAGACGGCGAUGCAAGCCAGAUGUGAAAGCCCGGGGCUCAACCCCGGGACUGCAUUUGGAACUGUGUGGCUGGAGUGUCGGAGAGGCAGGCGGAAUUCCUAGUGUAGCGGUGAAAUGCGUAGAUAUUAGGAGGAACACCAGUGGCGAAGGCGGCCUGCUGGACGAUGACUGACGUUGAGGCUCGAAAGCGUGGGGAGCAAACAGGAUUAGAUACCCCGGUACUA
Molecule: ribosomal RNA, 449 nt
Filed under: uncultured bacterium
Lineage: Bacteria
Description: partial 16S ribosomal RNA
Rfam family: Bacterial small subunit ribosomal RNA
Source: RNAcentral